UGUCAAUUUAUGGUCAGUAUCGUGGUAUGGUAAUUUGGCUAAUUCGUGUUUGAGGCCAGUUAAGAUGUUUAACUGACAUUUAAUUGUUGUUCAAUUUCCAAAUUAAUUUAAGUUUUUCAAUUGCAAACGAAUCAUCAGACGUCUAAGUGACUGAAGUCCCUUUGUGACGCGGUGAAUAAAGAACGUUGUUUCCGUUCCUUCCGGACUGCGAACACAGGUCUACAAACACGCUCCCCAAAAGCAGGUGUCAUCGGGGAUGAGGACAGACGUGAAAGGCGUGAUGUAAGGUCAUGUUUUGGAAGAACGGGUAACUGCAGCCCGCAAUUCGGGCGUUCCUACAUUUGAAGCAGCCUACCGUCCUCCACCGUCCUCCACCGUCCUCAUGGCUGAAGAGAUCAGGAAAAUAGGUGCUCUGCUAGAUCAGCCUCUGAGUGAGAAAGACCAAGAACUCAUCACUUACGUCAAGCACAAGUUUUCCACCGACUUCAAAAAAGACACAGUGGGACAAGAAGUUUGGAAAAAAGACAGUGAUCUCCAGCAAAUUCACUCAGGAGAAGACUAAAAAGGAGGAGAACGUCAGAGCCCCUCCAGUGGAGAACCUGAAUGGUUUCUUCCAGCUGAAGCAGUACAUGAGAGAGAUGGUCUCCAUCAGACACGCUCUCCACACUGGACGCCCCCUCAUAUAUUGCCUCAGGGACCAGGAUAAACCGUUACUGCUAAUGAAGAAACCUGUGCCUCCUAAGACACCAUGUGACCGAGCCAUAUCAGCUGAUAAAGAGACUAUAGCACCAUUGUCCAUGAACCAACAGGCACUGGACCCAGAGGAAGAGGAGAACCUACAGAGGAUACAGUACAGGAAGCAGAAGCUGUUCUUAGAGAAACUCCAGUGGAUUUACAUGGUCCUGUGUGGCAUCUCUCACAUGCGAAACAGAGACCUGAAGACACUGGUUCCUCUCAACAGCAGCUAUGUGAACAUCAUCAUGAAGGACACAGAGAAGACCAACAUCCUGUUGAAGCAGUCGCACAGCUACAACCCUCCGUUGAAUUACACCAGGCAGCUGGUGUCCCUGGCCCCCGAGGACUGUCACAGCAUCAGCCGUGACGUGUGGGACACCUUUAUCAGCCACCAGGACACCACAGAGCCCUCGAAGUUAACCACCAUCCGAACCGCAGGAUAUAAAGCUCUGCAGUCGGGGCCCAGGCGCAAGGUUGGCCAGAGAGAGCCAGACGGAGAUGGAUACAUGCCCCCAUGGCUGCUGCUGGAUGAGAACACGUCCCUAGAGAAGAAAACAGUAAAGCCUGGUGUAGACCAGUCAGGCAUGCUGGAGAGAGCCAAGGCCCAAUACCGGGAUGUGAAGAAAGUUCUGAACGUCCCGAUGGAGUCCAUAGUGUUUCAAAAGAGAAAGAACCGAGGGGAGAGGAUGAGAACUCUUUUCAAUGCUCUAAUGGCCUCAAAGACCAACGCUGGUCUGUCCUCACUCCUUACCUCUCUGAAGAGUGAGCUGAAGGAGCCCAAAUCCACCACAGGUCUCUGGUUUGCGACACUGCAGAGUGAUGCCACAGAAUUGUCCGGAGACAGAGACUCCAAAUACAACAGCAUACUGCAGAAGAUCUCAGAGUUUCAAAGCUUCUCCAACAAAAAGCUCCCCUACUCCAAGGAGAAGUUCUGUCUCCUGGUCCUCUCCAUGUCACCCAAUCAGCUGCUUCGACCGGCCAUGCAGGAAGCACUGCUCUUCCUCACGGAGAACGUGCUGCUGUUGUUGCCGCGGCACCUCAAACAGUGGUACCAGUACCUGAAGCUCCCAUUCCCCACCACGGCAACCGCCUCCUAAAAAAGAAAAGGGAUCCGCCUACCUACACUGAUGCUCUGUGUUCUUCACUACCUGUCUACAAUGUGGGCCUGGGACUUACAGGCCUGAGUUGAGUCUGAAAUGGUUCUUUAUCCUCAACAUAGCCCCCUAUAUUGGGGAAUAUAGUCAUUUCAGACAGCCCUAGGUUCUUGGUGGGAUAGUCAAUGUUGGGGGCUCAGGUAAAGACUAUCUGUUCACUGGUUGAGCCAUUAAAAC
This 2066-nucleotide long non-coding RNA is filed under the name Salmo salar (Atlantic salmon). RNAcentral's name for it is "lncRNA (ENSSSAG00000079041.2, ENSSSAG00075055181.1)". Lineage: Eukaryota; Metazoa; Chordata; Actinopteri; Salmoniformes; Salmonidae. The record is from RNAcentral.